RNAcentral lists this ribosomal RNA (1003 nucleotides) under uncultured bacterium. Its description in RNAcentral is "bacterial SSU rRNA". It matches the Rfam family "Bacterial small subunit ribosomal RNA", at positions 355 to 1375 of the family's 1533-position model. The record is from RNAcentral.
UGGGGAAUAUUGCACAAUGGAGGAAACUCUGAUGCAGCGACGCCGCGUGAAGGAUGAAGUAUUUCGGUAUGUAAACUUCUAUCAGCAGGGAAGAAAAUGACGGUACCUGACUAAGAAGCACCGGCUAAAUACGUGCCAGCAGCCGCGGUAAUACGUAUGGUGCAAGCGUUAUCCGGAUUUACUGGGUGUAAAGGGAGCGCAGGCGGUGCGGCAAGUCUGAUGUGAAAGCCCGGGGCUCAACCCCGGUACUGCAUUGGAAACUGUCGUACUAGAGUGUCGGAGGGGUAAGCGGAAUUCCUAGUGUAGCGGUGAAAUGCGUAGAUAUUAGGAGGAACACCCAGUGGCGAAGGCGGCUUACUGGACGAUAACUGACGCUGAGGCUCGAAAGCGUGGGGAGCAAACAGGAUUAGAUACCCUGGUAGUCCACACCGUAAACGAUGAUUACUAGGUGUUGGAGGAUUGACCCCUUCAGUGCCGUAGUUAACACAAUAAGUAAUCCACCUGGGGAGUACGACCGCAAGGUUGAAACUCAAAGGAAUUGACGGGGGCCCGCACAAGCAGUGGAGUAUGUGGUUUAAUUCGAAGCAACGCGAAGAACCUUACCAAGUCUUGACAUCCUUCUGACCGGUACUUAACCGUACCUUCUCUUCGGAGCAGGAGUGACAGGUGGUGCAUGGUUGUCGUCAGCUCGUGUCGUGAGAUGUUGGGUUAAGUCCCGCAACGAGCGCAACCCUUAUCUUUAGUAGCCAGCGGUCAGGCCGGGCACUCUAGAGAGACUGCCAGGGAUAACCUGGAGGAAGGCGGGGAUGACGUCAAAUCAUCAUGCCCCUUAUGACUUGGGCUACACACGUGCUACAAUGGCGUAAACAAAGGGAAGCAAAGCUGUGAAGCCGAGCAAAUCUCAAAAAUAACGUCUCAGUUCGGACUGUAGUCUGCAACCCGACUACACGAAGCUGGAAUCGCUAGUAAUCGCAGAUCAGAAUGCUGCGGUGAAUACGUUCCC